ACAGGGCUGAGGGGCUCCUUGGCCCUAUAAAGCUGUUUUUCAGAUGGGCUGUGGGAGGGAGCUGCUUUCUAAUUCAUCAGGUCCUAAAGGGACUUUCACGUGAGAGAACUAAUCCAAACUCAGUGAUGGUGCAAGGGUACUUCUUACCUCUAGGGACAGUGCCUUUCACCUCCUGCCAUGAUUCUGAGGCCUCCCCAGCCAUGUGGAACUUCUUUUCCAAAGUGUGGUGUGAAGAGUACUGCUCCUGUAAAUUUAACGAAAUUUUCCAUGGGCAAGAAAAAAGGAACUCCUGAGAACUGAGAAAUGACUGUUUAAUGAACAAAGAGAGAAGUGACAAUGAGACUGCCCUGUCCAGAGACUCCCAAAUAAAGAAGGAGUGGGAAAGUGGAAUUAGCAAAGCUCUUGUAAUCAUAGCAACUCAUUUGAGAAGAGCUUUGGCAAUUAUCAAAGCAAUCCUUCCUGCAUUAAGAAGAAACUGUUUCCUGGAUGUCACUCGAGUGACUUUCUGGCAAGCCCCAAGUCAACCUAUUGAUCACCAAGAUCUUGCUUUCUCAAUUUGCUCUCUGUACUAUGGAUGAUAUGUUGCUGAAACUAGCCAAGAUGAGAAAAGCAGACUCAUAUUGCCUGAUUUGUAUAUGGAUCAAUUAAUAAAACUUUGUUAAGCAUUA
This 668-nucleotide long non-coding RNA is filed under the name Homo sapiens (human). RNAcentral describes it as "long intergenic non-protein coding RNA 1470". The record is from RNAcentral. Lineage: Eukaryota; Metazoa; Chordata; Mammalia; Primates; Hominidae.